CCUACGGGGGGCUGCAGUGGGGAAUAUUGCACAAUGGGCGCAAGCCUGAUGCAGCCAUGCCGCGUGUGUGAAGAAGGCCUUCGGGUUGUAAAGCACUUUCAGCGGGGAGGAAGGCGUUAAGGUUAAUAACCUUGGCGAUUGACGUUACCCGCAGAAGAAGCACCGGCUAACUCCGUGCCAGCAGCCGCGGUAAUACGGAGGGUGCAAGCGUUAAUCGGAAUUACUGGGCGUAAAGCGCACGCAGGCGGUCUGUCAAGUCGGAUGUGAAAUCCCCGGGCUCAACCUGGGAACUGCAUUCGAAACUGGCAGGCUAGAGUCUUGUAGAGGGGGGUAUAAUUCCAGGUGGAGCGGUGAAAUGCGUAGAGAUCUGGAGGAAUACCGGUGGCGAAGGCGGCCCCCUGGACAAAGACUGACGCUCAGGUGCGAAAGCGUGGGGAGCAAACAGGAUUAGAUACCCUUGUAGUC
RNAcentral lists this ribosomal RNA (465 nucleotides) under uncultured Klebsiella sp. RNAcentral describes it as "bacterial SSU rRNA". It matches the Rfam family "Bacterial small subunit ribosomal RNA", at positions 338 to 795 of the family's 1533-position model. Lineage: Bacteria; Pseudomonadati; Pseudomonadota; Gammaproteobacteria; Enterobacterales; Enterobacteriaceae. The record is from RNAcentral.